GAUGAAGAACGUAGCGAAAUGCGAUACUUGGUGUGAAUUGCAGAAUCCCGUGAACCAUCGAGUCUUUGAACGCAAGUUGCGCCUCAAGCCAUUAGGUUGAGGGCACGUCUGCCUGGGCGUCACAUAUCGUUGCCUGAUGCCAGUUUCCUCGUGAUGGGUGACUGUGCAGGGCGAAUGAUGGCUUCCCGUGAGCAUUGUUGCCUCAUGGUUGGUUGAAAAUUGAGUCCUUGGUAGGGAGCGCCGUGAUAGAUGGUGGUUGAGUGACGAACGAGACCCAAUCAUGUGAGACCCCUACCGAAUUUGGCCUUCAUGACCCACAUGCGUCUUUGGAACGCUCAUGACGAGACCUCAGGUCAGGCGGGGCUACCCGCUGAAUUUAAGCAUAUCAUAAGCGGAGGA
Molecule: unclassified non-coding RNA, 399 nt
Filed under: soil metagenome
Description: partial contains 5.8S ribosomal RNA, internal transcribed spacer 2, and large subunit ribosomal RNA
Rfam family: 5.8S ribosomal RNA (bases 1-122)
Source: RNAcentral